RNAcentral lists this ribosomal RNA (253 nucleotides) under uncultured bacterium. RNAcentral's name for it is "partial 16S ribosomal RNA". It matches the Rfam family "Bacterial small subunit ribosomal RNA", at positions 524 to 776 of the family's 1533-position model. The record is from RNAcentral.
UACGUAGGUGGCAAGCGUUGUCCGGAUUUACUGGGCGUAAAGGGAGCGUAGGUGGAUAUUUAAGUGGGAUGUGAAAUCUCCGGGCUUAACCUGGGGGCUGCAUUCCAAACUGGAUGUCUAGAGUGCAGGAGAGGAGAGUGGAAUUCCUAGUGUAGCGGUGAAAUGCGUAGAGAUUAGGAAGAACACCAGUGGCGAAGGCGACUCUCUGGACUGUAACUGACACUGAGGCUCGAAAGCGUGGGGAGCAAACAGG